RNAcentral lists this ribosomal RNA (542 nucleotides) under Salmonella enterica subsp. indica. Its description in RNAcentral is "partial 23S ribosomal RNA". It matches the Rfam family "Bacterial large subunit ribosomal RNA", at positions 711 to 1250 of the family's 2925-position model. The record is from RNAcentral. Lineage: Bacteria; Pseudomonadati; Pseudomonadota; Gammaproteobacteria; Enterobacterales; Enterobacteriaceae.
AGACCCGAAACCCGGUGAUCUAGCCAUGGGCAGGUUGAAGGUUGGGUAACACUAACUGGAGGACCGAACCGACUAAUGUUGAAAAAUUAGCGGAUGACCUGUGGCUGGGGGUGAAAGGCCAAUCAAACCGGGAGAUAGCUGGUUCUCCCCGAAAGCUAUUUAGGUAGCGCCUCGUGAAUUCAUCUCCGGGGGUAGAGCACUGUUUCGGCUAGGGGGCCAUCCCGGCUUACCAACCCGAUGCAAACUGCGAAUACCGGAGAAUGUUAUCACGGGAGACACACGGCGGGUGCUAACGUCCGUCGUGAAGAGGGAAACAACCCAGACCGCCAGCUAAGGUCCCAAAGUCAUGGUUAAGUGGGAAACGAUGUGGGAAGGCCCAGACAGCCAGGAUGUUGGCUUAGAAGCAGCCAUCAUUUAAAGAAAGCGUAAUAGCUCACUGGUCGAGUCGGCCUGCGCGGAAGAUGUAACGGGGCUAAACCAUGCACCGAAGCUGCGGCAGCGACACUUAAGUGUUGUUGGGUAGGGGAGCGUUCUGUAAGCCU